UCCAACAAUUAGCAUCGGCAAUCUCUCUAAUGAAAUUAGAAACAAGGGUUGCGCCCGUUAGCGGAAUUAACCCUACAUCUCACGACACGUGCUUACGACAGCCAUGCAACACCUGUAUAAGAAUUUUUCACUCUCUCAGAUACAUUCAUAUCGAAAUCAGUCCUCACAAAUACUUAUAUUCAAGAACUGGUAAGGUUUUUCGGUUAUUAUCGAAUUGAACCACAUACUCCACCGCUGGUAUAGAUUUCCGUCAAUUCCUUUGAGUUUCAACCUUGCAGCCGUAGUACCCAGGCGGAGUGUUUAACGCGUUAGCUGACAAACAUCAAACAUACGUUAUCAGUAAGUAACACUCAUCGUUGACUGCAUAGACUAC
RNAcentral lists this unclassified non-coding RNA (373 nucleotides) under uncultured bacterium. Its description in RNAcentral is "contains 16S-23S intergenic spacer region". The record is from RNAcentral.